Molecule: ribosomal RNA, 213 nt
Filed under: uncultured bacterium
Lineage: Bacteria
Description: partial 16S ribosomal RNA
Rfam family: Bacterial small subunit ribosomal RNA
Source: RNAcentral
CUCAGUUCGGAUUGAAGGCUGAAAUUCGCCUUCAUGAAGCUGGAAUUGCUAGUAAUGGCAGGUCAGCAUACUGCCGUGAAUACGUUCCCGGGCCUUGUACACACCGCCCGUCACACCAUGAGAGUUGGGAAUACCCGAAGCCUGUGAGCUAACUUUUAGAGGCAGCAGUCGAAGGUAGAAUCAAUGAUUGGGGUGAAGUCGUAACAAGGUACC